This is a long non-coding RNA of Pseudophryne corroboree (corroboree frog), 354 nucleotides long. RefSeq lists it as uncharacterized. The transcript is spliced from 3 exons. NCBI's taxonomy places the organism in Eukaryota, Metazoa, Chordata, Amphibia, Anura, Myobatrachidae. The record is from RefSeq and is a predicted model, not a curated record.
CCUACCUGCCAGGAUGGUACAGUCUGCAGAGGGACUCCGCAUUCUCCAUCCGCUCCAGAUGCUGGAGACUCAUCAUUCUGCUGCUCUGUAAUUGGACUCAUUGUGGAUUUGUCAUGAUAUCCCUGGCAUGCAUCGCCCUCUGCACUGGUUACCGGGGAUAGACGGGAUGGGUGAGCUGUGAUUGAGAGAAGAGGUGAGAUCCAAAACACGAAGGAGAUCCAGAUCCAAAACUAAAACCACAACCCGUGACGGGGGCGGCGCACGUCUCUAAUUCUUAGACUGUUUUGUUCUUCAUUGGUGGAACUGAAGCUGCGUCACAUCGGUUCCACCUCCAAGAAACCGUCAACUUCAAUG